CCCUUAGAUGUUCUGGGCUGCACGCGCGCUACACUGAUGCGUUCAACAAGUUGGACCUCGUCCGAGAGGAAAUCGGGGGAAUCUUUUGAAAACGUAUCGUGAUGGGGAUAGAUUAUUGUAAUUAUUAAUCUUCAACGAGGAAUUCCUAGUAAGCGCGAGUCAUCAGCUCGUGCUGAUUACGUCCCUGCCCUUUGUACACACCGCCCGUCGCUCCUACCGAUUGAGUGCUCAGGUGAAUAAUUCGGACUGCAGCAAUGUUUGGAUCCCGAACGUUGCAGCGGAAAGUUUAGUGAACCUUAUCACUUAGAGGAAGGAGAAGUCGUAACA
Molecule: ribosomal RNA, 327 nt
Filed under: uncultured eukaryote
Lineage: Eukaryota
Description: partial 18S ribosomal RNA
Rfam family: Eukaryotic small subunit ribosomal RNA
Source: RNAcentral